Long non-coding RNA from Amphiprion ocellaris (clown anemonefish), 1036 nucleotides. The record is from Ensembl. Lineage: Eukaryota; Metazoa; Chordata; Actinopteri; Pomacentridae.
UUUAGGUCUACAUUUAAGGUGGAAUGCUCCUUUACACCAAGAUUUUUUUGGUCUACAUUGAAGGAUUUUAGGUGGAAUAUUCCUUUGAACGAACUUUUUAAGUAAAUGUUCAAGGAUGUUGGGUGGAAUAUACCAUCAGACCAACCUCCAAGGUCUACAGUAGUGAAUUUUAGGUGGAACAUACCAUUAAACUCACCUUUUAGGUCUAUAUUGGAGGAUUUUAGGUGGAAUUUUCUUCCAAACCGUCUUUUAGUCUACAUUUAAGGAUGUUUAGAAUGGUAUAUUCUUCCAAACCAACUUCUCAGGUCUACAUUUCAGGUGGAAUAUUCCUCCAUACUAACUUUUUUGGUCUACAUUGAAGGAUUUUUUCUAAACCACCCUUUCGGGUCUAUAUUUGAGGUUUUAGGUGGAAUAUUCCUUUUAAUCAGCCCCUCAGGUCUCUUUGAGGAUUUUGGAUGGAAUACUCGGUUAAACCAACAUUUUAGGUGCAUGUCCAAGGAUUCUUGGUGGAAUGUUCCUUUAAGGUGGAUGCGUGAGGACCUUGUAGGUGGAAUACUUCCUGAAACCAACCUUUUAGGUCAACAUUCAAAGAUUUAAGGUGGAAUAUUCCUUUAAACCAACCUAAAUUUCAUGUUUUGAUCAUUAUCAAGUGAGAAACCUCAAUCCAGACUCCUCAUAAUGACGUUUGAGAUUUAUGCUGCUGUUAUUUGUUUAGUCCAGACUAAAUGACAGAAAUCCACAACUGUAAUUUUAUUUCAGGACUCGGUUAUUAAAUGUCAAAACAAUCCAUGUGACUCUAAAAACUCAACAGCUUUACAAACUCUAAAGUUAAACUCUUCACAAGGAUCCAAAAUAAGUUGGACUUCUACAUGAGAGCUUUAAUUAUUCUUCAUCUACUUCCUGAAAAGUUUGGUCAAUAAAAAAGACAAAAACUAAUAUUUUCAGCUGAACUACAGACAGACUUUGUGAUUUUUCUGCUCACAUGUUGUGUUGUUGUAAACUUCCUCUUUCAAAUAAAUAUCCUCCUAACCCCCUG